AGAAUUUUAAGUUAUUUAAACUGAAAACCUUCAAAGUUUUUAAAAAAAGUUUUACUCUUUUAAAUUCUA
RNAcentral lists this transfer RNA (69 nucleotides) under Pachygrapsus crassipes. Its description in RNAcentral is "tRNA-Trp". Lineage: Eukaryota; Metazoa; Arthropoda; Malacostraca; Decapoda; Grapsidae. The record is from RNAcentral.